Molecule: long non-coding RNA, 570 nt
Organism: Xiphophorus hellerii (green swordtail)
Lineage: Eukaryota; Metazoa; Chordata; Actinopteri; Cyprinodontiformes; Poeciliidae
Exons: 4
Source: RefSeq, a predicted model, not a curated record
UGGCCCCAUUUCCCAUUUCUAGUCUUUCUAAGGAUGUUUUUUCUUUUUUACAAUUUUUUCAUAGUUGUGGUGUAGCACUCUGUAAUUUGAUACGGGUAAUAAAAAACCGCCAGACAGGGUUCUUAUUGUGCGGGACUGGGCAGCUUGCCGGGUGUUAUGAGCGUCCCCUGCAGUGGCCACUAAACUGAUUCCCUCCUCAGUGCUUUCGUUCAUUUAUUUCACGGCAGGUGCAUUGGAACAGGUAGCAGCGAUGAAAAGCUGUUCAUGUUGUAAAUCUUGCAUGUCGGCUAGGGGGAAAGUUUCCUCCACGUUUUUGGAAUACCAACAAUAUUUCGAUUCUUGCUAAAAGGGAACAUGCAAGCUGUUAUAAAAAAAAGUGUAUUUAUUGCUCAAUCUUUUAACAGCUCUGGGAAAAAUGAAGAGACCACUGCACUUAACCCCAUUGAAAACCUCAUGGUUAUUCCACCAAAUACUGAUUUAUGAACUCUUCCUGAUUUAAAACAUUAGUGUUGUUGUUUCUAAAUGAAUAUGAACUUGUUUUCUUUGCAUUAUUUUAUGUCUGAGAGCACU